Molecule: ribosomal RNA, 490 nt
Filed under: uncultured bacterium
Lineage: Bacteria
Description: partial 16S ribosomal RNA
Rfam family: Bacterial small subunit ribosomal RNA
Source: RNAcentral
GAUGAACGCUAGCGAUAGGCUUAACACAUGCAAGUCGAGGGGCAGCAUGGUCUUAGCUUGCUCAGACUGAUGGCGACCGGCGCACGGGUGCGUAACGCGUAUGCAACUUGCCUCACAGAGGGGGAUAACCCGUCGAAAGACGGACUAAUACCGCGUACACUCUAUUUUGGGCAUCCAAGGUAGAGGAAAUGAAAUUCGCUGUGAGAUAGGCAUGCGUCCCAUUAGCUAGUUGGUGAGGUAACGGCUCACCAAGGCGACGAUGGGUAGGGGAACUGAGAGGUUGAACCCCCACACUGGUACUGAGACACGGACCAGACGCCUAAGGGAGGCAGCAGUGAGGAAUAUUGGUCAAUGGGCGAGAGCCUGAACCAGCCAAGUCGCGUGAAGGAUGACUGUCUUAUGGAUUGUAAACUUCUUUUGUAGGGGAAUAAAGAGGGGCACGUGUGCCCCAGUGAAUGUACCCUACGAAUAAGCAUCGGCUAACUCCGUG